This 323-nucleotide ribosomal RNA is filed under the name uncultured Acidobacteriota bacterium. RNAcentral's name for it is "bacterial SSU rRNA". It matches the Rfam family "Bacterial small subunit ribosomal RNA", at positions 20 to 358 of the family's 1533-position model. The record is from RNAcentral. Lineage: Bacteria; Pseudomonadati; Acidobacteriota.
UGGCUCAGAAGGAACGCUGGCGGCGCGCUUCCCACAUGCAAGUCGCACGAGAAAGGGGGCAACCCUGAGUAAAGUGGCGUACGGGUGAGUAACACGUGGAUUAUCUACCUUUUAGUGGGGAAUACCUCCGGGAAACUGGAGACAAUACCGCAUAAGCCUGUAAAGGGAAAGCAGCAAUGCGCUGAAAGAGGAGUCCGCGGCUGAUUAUGCUAGUUGGUGAGGUAAUGGCCCACCAAGGCGAAGAUCGGUAGCCGGCCUGAGAGGGCUCACGGCCACACUGGCACUGAAAUACGGUCCAGACUCCUACGGGAGGCAGCAGUGGG